This 492-nucleotide ribosomal RNA is filed under the name uncultured bacterium. Its description in RNAcentral is "partial 16S ribosomal RNA". It matches the Rfam family "Bacterial small subunit ribosomal RNA", at positions 29 to 507 of the family's 1533-position model. The record is from RNAcentral.
AGUGAACGCUGGCGGUAGGCCUAACACAUGCAAGUCGAACGGCAGCACAGUAAGAGCUUGCUCUUACGGGUGGCGAGUGGCGGACGGGUGAGGAAUACAUCGGAAUCUACUUUUUCGUGGGGGAUAACGUAGGGAAACUUACGCUAAUACCGCAUACGACCUACGGGUGAAAGCAGGGGAUCUUCGGACCUUGCGCGAUUGAAUGAGCCGAUGUCGGAUUAGCUAGUUGGCGGGGUAAAGGCCCACCAAGGCGACGAUCCGUAGCUGGUCUGAGAGGAUGAUCAGCCACACCGGAACUGAGACACGGUCCAGACUCCUACGGGAGGCAGCAGUGGGGAAUAUUGGACAAUGGGCGCAAGCCUGAUCCAGCCAUACCGCGUGGGUGAAGAAGGACUUAGGGUUGUAAAGCCCUUUUGUUGGGAAAGAAAAGCAGCAGGUUAAUACCCCGCUGUUCUGACGGUACCCAAAGAAUCAGCACCGGCUAACUUCGUG